RNAcentral lists this ribosomal RNA (948 nucleotides) under uncultured Cohnella sp. RNAcentral describes it as "bacterial SSU rRNA". It matches the Rfam family "Bacterial small subunit ribosomal RNA", at positions 1 to 923 of the family's 1533-position model. The record is from RNAcentral. Lineage: Bacteria; Bacillati; Bacillota; Bacilli; Caryophanales; Paenibacillaceae.
UGCAUCUAGAUUAGAGUUUGAUCCUGGCUCAGGACGAACGCUGGCGGCAUGCCUAAUACAUGCAAGUCGAGCGGAUCUUAUUAGUAGCUUGCUACUAACUUGGUUAGCGGCGGACGGGUGAGUAACACGUAGGCAACCUGCCCUUAAGAUCGGGAUAACAUUCGGAAACGAAUGCUAAGACCGGAUAAACAAUUUGGCUGCAUGGCCGGAUUGGGAAACGCGGAGCAAUCUGCGGCUUAGGGAUGGGCCUGCGGCGCAUUAGCUAGUUGGUGGGGUAAAGGCUCACCAAGGCGACGAUGCGUAGCCGACCUGAGAGGGUGAACGGCCACACUGGGACUGAGACACGGCCCAGACUCCUACGGGAGGCAGCAGUAGGGAAUCUUCCACAAUGGGCGAAAGCCUGAUGGAGCAAUGCCGCGUGAGUGAGGAAGGCUUUCGGGUCGUAAAGCUCUGUUGCCAGGGAAGAAUAAGGGUGAGAGUAACUGCUCAUUCGAUGACGGUACCUGAGAAGAAAGCCCCGGCUAACUACGUGCCAGCAGCCGCGGUAAUACGUAGGGGGCAAGCGUUGUCCGGAAUUAUUGGGCGUAAAGCGCGCGCAGGCGGUUCUUUAAGUCUGGUGUCUAAGUGCGGGGCUCAACCCCGUGAUGCACUGGAAACUGGGGAACUUGAGUGCAGAAGAGGAGAGCGGAAUUCCACGUGUAGCGGUGAAAUGCGUAGAGAUGUGGAGGAACACCAGUGGCGAAGGCGGCUCUCUGGACUGUAACUGACGCUGAGGCGCGAAAGCGUGGGGAGCAAACAGGAUUAGAUACCCUGGUAGUCCACGCUGUAAACGAUGAGUGCUAGGUGUUGGGGGUAUCAUGCCCUCGGUGCCGAAGUUAACACAUUAAGCACUCCGCCUGGGGGAGUACGGUCGCAAGACUGAAACUCAAAGGAAUUGACCGGGGACCC